AAACCCUUUCAUCCCCAAAUUGCUUCGGUCAUGGUGUUUCAUCCCAGCAAUAGUGACCCUGACUAAGACAGUGGUGAUUGGGGGGGAGAUAGCUUGUUGGUUUGCUGUGCAGCUGAGAAUCUGAGUUUGAUCCUCCCCCAAGGCCAGGACAGCAUUGCGCUCUGACCUCCAGGCCCACACACAUAUACUAAAUAAAUUUUUUAAAAUUAUUUAUUAUGUAUACAACAUUCUGCCUCCUAUAUGCCUGCACACCAGAAGAGGGCGCCAGAUCUCAUUAUGGAUGGUUGUGAGCCACCAUGUGGUUGCUGGGAAUUGAACUCAGGAACUCCAGAAGAGCAGUCGGUGCUCUAAACCUGUGAGCCAUCUCUCCAGCCCUUAAUUUUUUUAAAAAAAACAAACAAAGUUUUCACUAUGCAGUGGUGGCACACACCCAUAACCCAGCACUCGGGAAGCAGAGAUGGUCGCAUCUAUGUGAGUUUGAGGCCAGCCUGACUACAGAGUGAGCUCAGGAAAAGGCUCCAAAGCUACACACAGAAACCCUGUCUCAGGAAAGAGGACGAGGAGGAGGAGGAGUUGGCACAGUCUACCAAGGCAGGGACAGAGCUUGGGGACAGCUGGUCACACUGCAUGCACAGUCUGGAAGCAGAGCAGAGACGGACAGAUGCUGGUACUUAGCUAGUUUUCUCUUGCCUGUUCUACCCAGGACUCCAGCACACGGAAUGGUGCACCCGGUGCAAGAUGGGACUUCUCUCCUAGUUUGCCUUCUAUUGCUGUGACGAAUACCAUGACCAAAAGCAGCCUGGGAGGGAGAGGGCUUAUUUGGAUUGUCCAUCCUGUUCACAGUCAGUCACUGAGGGAAAAUAAGGGCAGGAGCUAAAGGAACAAUGCAGAUGACAGGCUCUGCUUGCAACAUUGACCGGGGGGGGGGGGUGUUUCAAGACAGGGUUUCUCUGUGUAGCUUUGGAGCCUAUCCUGGCACUCGCUCUUGUAGACCAGGCUGGUCUCGAACUCACAGAGAUCCAUCUGCCUCUGCCUCCCGAGUGCUGGGACUAAAGGUGUAUGCCACCACCGCCUGGCUUGCUUCUUCUUUUUUUUUUUUAAGUAAUUUGUUUAAAUUUAUUUUAUGUGCACUGGUGUGAAGGCAUCAGAUUCCCUGGAACUGGAGUUGCAGACAGCUGUGAGCCACCAUGUGGUUGCUGGGAAUUGAACCCAGGUCCUCUGGAAGAGCAGCCAGUGCUCUCAGCCUCUGGGCCAUCUCUCCAGCCCCUCAGUUUGCUUUCUUACAGGACUACCUGGCCAUUAGGGGCACCGCCCACAGUGGUCUGAGCCCUCCUACAUCAGUCAUUGAUGAAGGAAAUGUCCCAUAGACCCGCCAAUCUAUUGGGAGCAUUCCCUCAAUCAGCCAGCCCUCUUUUCUAGCUUCUGUCAAGUGGAAAGGACCCAGUGAGCCACACUGUCUUCCUACCUGAAUGAACCCACUCUAGAUAAUCUCUCAUGAGCAUGCUUGCAGGAGGCCUGUGUUCUAGAAUAUUCUAGGUCCUGCCAAGGUAACAAAGGUGAACAUAACUCUUUGUUUUCAAGAUUUUUAUCUCUCUCUCUCUCUCUCUCUCUCUCUCUCUCUCUCUCUCUCUCUCAGAUUUAUUGGUUAGGUACACAGGGUUCUGUCCCCAUGCAUACCCGCACACCGGAAGAGGGCAUCAGAUCGCAUUACAGACAGUUGUGAGCCACCAUGUGGUUGCUGGGAAUUGAACUCAGGUCCUCUGGAAGAGCAUCCAGUGCUCUUAACGUGUGAGCCAGCUCUCCAGCACGUUUUUUUUUUCUUUAUUCCGUGUGUGUGUGUGUGUGUGUGUGUGUGUGUGUGUGUGUGGUGUAUAUGGCCCUGUGUGUGUGUAGACCUGUGUGCACAAGGAGAGGCCAGAGGAGGACAUGGGUGUCUCUGCCCAUAUUCCUUUUGAAACAGGCUCUGCCACUGGCUCACUAAGCCAGAAGCCAGAAAACCCUCCUCCUCCCUGCCCCUCACAGUGCUGGAGUUGCAGGCCCACGUGGCCACGCCCACCCUUUUCUAUGAGCGCCUGGGAUUUGAACUCAAGUCCUCAUAACCUAGGCAGCUAAGCGCUCCCACCCACUGAGCCAUCGCUACAGCCCCAGAGCUUCACGUUUCUUCAAGACAACACCAGCUUCCGGACGUCAGGUUGCUGUGUCCUGCACCAUCACCACCCAUGCUACAGGCUCGGCAGACAGCAUCAGUUGAUCAGCAUGGCAGACAGACAGACAGCACCGAUAGCUGGGGGCAUUCUCUCCUCCGGAGCAAAUAUGUGUUGAGAAUCCUUCCAAACACCGCGUCCCAAGCCACACUCGGAAUCAAUUAGUCUCGACCAAGGAGCUGAACGAAAAGGAAACCAAAGCCUGGGAAAUUAAAAAAGACUCGCUCAAGGUCACAGCAUGAGUUUGCAUAAAAUCUGCGGUGGUGAAAUGUAGCCGCCGGGGGUGGCUCGGUGGCUCGGCUCGGUGGGGGAAAGGAGCUAGCCAUCAGGCUGACAACCCGAGUUCAUUCACUGGAAGCCACGCGGCAGAAGCGGAGAACUGCUCGCUGAAAGCCGUCCUCUGACCUUGCCCUGUGCACCCCGGGGCAUGCAUCCUCCCCACCCCGCCCCGUAUUUUUUUUUUUUUUAAUGUAACAGCUAAUUGACUGUGAAUCAAGGAAAACCUGGGCGCAGGACGUUAAUAUCCGGGUAACCUCAUCUCCCUAUGCCUCAGCGUCUUCACCUGUAACAUGGGGCUAGCAGGAAUGCUGAGUUCACAGCAUGGUGGGAGAAGCCAGUGACUAAAUCAGUGAAAAAAAAAAAAAAAUGUUCCCUCAGUAUGGCUGUGCUUGUGACCCAGGUGUCAUAGCUCCAGGUCAUUAUCAUUGCACAGAUGAUGACCACACGAGGCAGAUAUACGUUCUUCCAAUAUUUUUCAAGAUUAAGCUUAUUAGGGCCACAGGGGUGGUGGUGGUGGGCUGUUGCCAGUGGUAGAGCCUCUGCCUAGAAUCCCCCCAGUGAGGGGCUGGGCUGUGGCUCAGUGGUAGAGCCCCUGCCUAGAAUCCCCCAGUGAGGAGGGGCUGGGGGCGUGGCUCAGUGUAGAGCCCCUGCCUAGAAUCCCCCAGUGAGGGACUGGGGGUGUGGUUCAGGUAUAGAGUUCUAGCCUUGCAUUCUGGGGGUCCUUGAUUUCCUGGGAGAGAGACAGACAGAGAGAGAGAGAGACAGACAGACAGAGAGAGAGAGAGAGAGAGAGAGAGAGAGAGGGGGAAAGAGAGGAGAGAGAGAUCAGCUAUAAAUUUAUCAGAUAUUUUGUAUUUUGGCUCUUCUCGGUCCCUCAGUGUAGCGGAAUCACAGCUCUUAGAAUCAGGUUUUGAGCCUCCUCCUCCCUCAGCUAUACAAACAGUGGCAAUUCCUACAUACCCACUACUGUGAAUGGCUGGUGGAUUACGUUCAGAUGGGAAGCAUCUGCCUCACAGUAGCUGUACACUAAAUAGUUGCGGUUGUUUCUCAAACGGUAGCGAAAGGGCCCAGCAUACGGGAAGCCCACUGUCGCCUUGUACCUGGGAAGGAUGUUCAGGUUCGGGAGCCAGACUGACUUGGUGCCAGUCAAAGGCUAUCACUGUGUGCAAAGCUCUCAGGUCAGUCAUUCACCUCGUUGGCUGAAGGGGCACAAACAGGCCGGUAAAUCCAGCAAGGGGGGGGGGGCGGUCUUGGGAAUAAAGUCAGAUAGAGCAGUGUGGAUGCUCUUGGCAGUGUAAUAGGCAGUCAGAGGUGUAGCAAGAGAUGGCUUUUUGUUUGUUUUUGUUUGUAUUGACCUUAACCCUGUCAUCAUUUAUUGUCCUCAAACAGGGACUGAAAUAUAAGGUGAUGCUUAAAUAAUCUAUUUUUCAUCUCUCUCUCUCUCUCUCUCUCUCUCUCUCUCUCUCUCUCUCUCUCUCUCUCUGCCCUUAAGCACUCUUCACAGCCAAUGAUGACCUUGAACUCCUGUUCCUCCUGCUCCCAUCUCCUGAGUGCCUCCAUGUCUGGCUGACAAUGAGCACACAGGGCCUCAGGUGUGCUAGGUCCCUCUCCCAGUUAGCCAAAUCCGAAGUCCUUACUUAGUUUUUUUUUGUAUUUGUUUUGUUUUUGUUUUAUUUUUGAGACAGGGUUUCUCUGCGUAGCCCUGGCUGUCCUGAAACUCACUCUGUAGACCUCAAAUUUGAGGUUGUCCUCAAAUUCAGAGAUCUGCCUGCCUCUGCCUUCCAAGUGCUGGGAUUAAAGGUGUGCCACCCCCCCCCACCACCUGACUUAUUUUUAAUUUUAUUAUUAUUAUGGGGAGGAAGGGAAGGGAGAAGGGUUCUCAGACAUUCCAUGCCACAGUGUGUG
This 4388-nucleotide long non-coding RNA is filed under the name Cricetulus griseus (Chinese hamster). Its description in RNAcentral is "lncRNA (ENSCGRG00015036491.1)". The record is from RNAcentral. Lineage: Eukaryota; Metazoa; Chordata; Mammalia; Rodentia; Cricetidae.